This is a non-coding RNA of Labrus bergylta (ballan wrasse), 151 nucleotides long. NCBI's taxonomy places the organism in Eukaryota, Metazoa, Chordata, Actinopteri, Labriformes, Labridae. The record is from RefSeq and is a predicted model, not a curated record.
UCACAUAUUUUCAUUUUUCUGGCAGACUGGCGUUGGUGGUUGAUCUUCGUGCCCGUGGUGGUUUUUAUAGUUCUGUUAGUGGUCGUUGUGAAAGUCAUCAGACGGAAAGGAAACAGAACGCAGAUGAGUGACGAUGUUGCUGAUCCUGAAG